This 362-nucleotide long non-coding RNA is filed under the name Notechis scutatus (mainland tiger snake). RNAcentral's name for it is "lncRNA (ENSNSUG00000015153.1)". Lineage: Eukaryota; Metazoa; Chordata; Lepidosauria; Squamata; Elapidae. The record is from RNAcentral.
CAUUCCUUUUCUCUCUUUUCUGCACCCAUCCAACAAGUGGCAUUAACAGUUUUUCCCCUCUCAUUAUGCCUGCUUAACUUUUCACCUGUCUCUUUGAUGUUUUAUUUAGUUAUAUUUGUACAGAAACUUCAGCUGCCUACAGAUAUACCGAACAAUAGCUGCUGGAGGCAUCUCUGAGUGGUAUUCUGGAAGAUUGCUGUUAGCAACGAAUUGUGAUGGGAAGCUUGCCCAGUAAGAGGAAACAGAUUGCUAACCAGACAAGCCCACAACUGAACACAAGGCACAGCCAGAGCUAUAGCGUAAACCUGCCAGUUGCCAAUUUCCCCAUGAUUGUUGCAGUCAGUGAUUUUCCUUCUAGAGAC